This is a long non-coding RNA of Carassius gibelio (silver crucian carp), 2829 nucleotides long. RefSeq lists it as uncharacterized. The record is from RefSeq and is a predicted model, not a curated record. The transcript is spliced from 3 exons. NCBI's taxonomy places the organism in Eukaryota, Metazoa, Chordata, Actinopteri, Cypriniformes, Cyprinidae.
UUUGUCCUCAUAACUUAAAAAAAUGUGUUGAAUCAACUCAAUAGCAAUAUCACGUUCACAACAUCACUUAUCGCGAGAUCUCCUCAUUCUCGUGAAGGCUGUUGAAGAGAGAAGAAAGUUGUCAGCCAUACUAGUCAGUUUCUCCUCAAAGUUUGGACAUUUUACUAGAAUACAACUUUGGUAAGUAAAAUAUUCGUAUUUAUUGGCUUAAUGUGUAAAAUUACAUUUGUUGUCUCAGAAGAGUAAGUAUGGUUUAAAGAGUCGUAUAUUCUGAAUGUAAGUUACUGUAUGUAAAUGUUCGUUUCGCAGCACUCUGAAGCCUCAAAAUACAGGCGGUUCCACAGUAUUUUCCUUAUAAAUAUUAAAACAGAUAUUCUCCCAUGCGGGACAGCGGAGCUGAACUUAUGUGGGGAACGAUAAAAAUACAGUCUGUAUGUAUCACUUGAGCUCAGAGCUGCGUUAGAGACCGUUCAAAAAGAGCGCGAGAGCUCAUCGGAUCACUGUAUGGAUUAAGAACGGCGGGAAUUAAAAAACCUGACAGCAUAAGACAUCCGUCAGAUGUACGUUACAUUGAUAUACAUCGAUGAAAAAUUAGGGGGAAAAAAGAAGAUUUCUACUGUGUCUUUUCUGCAUGUUAUAAGGGAAACGAAUGAGCAGCAUAGAUGAGCACCUCCCUCAGAGUUCUUCUGGAGCGCGUAACUUAACGUUACAUUUGAUAUCGCUGAUAUAAACUUAGUUCUAAUGAUUAUUUUACAGUCUACGGUUCAGAUGAAGUUCUGAAGGUAGCGUUACAAACUCUUCUUUCAGUUUUCUGAAGUAACGUUAGUCAUUCAAGUGCCUCACUAGAACCUAGAACCCAGUGUAAUGCUGCGUGAAUAUCUGUUUUUAUACAGUCUAUGGUGAAUAUACGGUCAUAAGUAAAUUUUAUACAUUCAAAUCUAUAUAUUUUAGAAUAAAAGUAAUAAUAGCAUAUAUCUUGUAUAAAUAAAGAUACAAUAACGAUCGACACAAAUGUGUUAAAUUUCCUUUUAUUGUGUUAUAAUUCUGUGUUGUGUCAUUUAAAAGCAUGGUCUGGAUGGUAUAGUUUGUCGUUGGCAUUUAAAACAAACUUGUCAAUACAUUUGACUUUCUCUGUAAAGAUUUAUUUAUAUGUAUGUUUAUUAUUUUACAGUGUUUUAACAUGUUUUUGUAUUUUUCAUGUUUAUGAUAUUUUGGAAUGACUGAAGAUUCAGCGCAGAAUUCAAUAAUCCUGUGGAUGGACCGCAGUGAGUCCUUUUGCAGUUAUCCAUCAAAAUGCUUUGCAGACAUAAUGGAAAUGGCAUUUACAUGGUAGAGCUUGGACAAAGUUCACACAGGCUCUGCGCAGGAAUUCAUCAAGGACAUAACUGCUGGGAUUACGCUUGUGGAUGACCAAACUGAGCACCAUCAGUCUGCAGUGAUGUGAUCCAGCCAUCCAGUGACAUUAAGGAUGUUGAGAAAGAAAUUGAAGAGGGCAUUCUGAAUAUAACUGAGGAGCAGCAAUGUGAUGUGUUUCCCAAGGAAUAACCAACAUUGGUCUCAUUUGGACAUCCUGUCAUCACUGACAUCUCCCAUGUCCCCAAGGCAUUUGGACUCCUAAUGGGUCUGUAUGCAGUGAACAUCCACUACCUCCAGCGCAUUAAAUACACCAUUGAGGCUCUGCAAAAACUUGUGAAGACCAGCUGCUCCCACCGUGUGCUCGCUACAGCGGCAGGAACUGUAGGUGUGGGGGAGUGAAUGUCCAGCGCUCUCUCCACCCUCAACACCACAAAUAAGGUGUCCUUGAGCAAGGCACAACUUCUCCCCGGGUACUGCAGCAUAAAUGGCUGCCCACUGCUCUGGGUGUGUGUUCACGGUGUGUGUUCACUGCUGUGUGUGUGCACUUUGGAUGGGUUAAAUGAAGAGCACAAAUGUAUGUCAUGUCACUUUCACUUUUCAGUGUUCAUGAUGUGUCCAUCGGCUCCACAGCACUCUUUCUUUAAAAAAAAAAAAAAAAAAAAAACACUACUUUUUAAUAAGGACAUUUUGGUUCUUUUGUGCCUUUCACUACAUUUUAGAAUGUACAUUAAAGUUCCAAUGACUUGGAAUAUGCAUGUUCUCAUGUAAACAAAUGUUUUUUCACCUCUCAUUUUCUUAAACAGUAUGUACACAUUUUCAUUAUGUAGCAUUAUGAUGGGGGACGAGUUUGGAAACUUUCAAGAUCCUUCUGAUGUUAACACUUACUGGUCUGGUCAUGUUGUGCUGUGAAAUUUAGAAUCUGACUGUUUAGGUCUUUGUGCUUCCAUGUGCAUUCAUUCCAUUUAUAUCUUAUUAUACAGAAGUACAGUACACUCAUUUUUUGUAACUAAUUGUGAUGUUAUAUACAUAUAUGUUAGUUUCUCAUUUUGACCAUGACUUGCAUUAUGGUGGGGGGGGGGGUGCAUGUGAACUUGUGCAGGGUUGAUAUGCAGAGUUCAACCUUUUGAUUUUCAUAUUGAGUUAUGAAAUUAAAAACAAUCCCUGUGGUUUUGAUCUGAUGAAUUGAAAUGCAACUAUUUGUUUCUCAAUCCCAUGCCAAUGUUAUUUAUUAUACAUCACACUUUCAAGUGUCGGUUCAGAUCUUUAGACGUGUGUUUUUAUUUAGCAUUUUUUCGUUUUGUUUAUCAAUUAUCAGUUGAUGUGUUGACAGCAAAUUGCUUGUUCAAUUUAAAUGUGAAUGAAAGUGUUGUCUCUAUCAUUAAAUAAAUUACAUUAAAAAAGUGUUUUGUCAUCUUUAUUUAAACAUUUAAGGCAGUGGGGUAACAUUUGUUUAUGAUUAUUGAUCGAAGUAAA